RNAcentral lists this ribosomal RNA (301 nucleotides) under uncultured bacterium. Its description in RNAcentral is "partial 16S ribosomal RNA". It matches the Rfam family "Bacterial small subunit ribosomal RNA", at positions 509 to 807 of the family's 1533-position model. The record is from RNAcentral.
CAGUAGCCGCGGGAAUGCGAAGGGUGCAAGCGUUACUCGGAAUUACUGGGCGUAAAGCGUGCGUAGGUGGUGGUUUAAGUCCGUUGUGAAAGCCCUGGGCUCAACCUGGGAAUUGCAGUGGAUACUGGGUCACUAGAGUGUGGUAGAGGAUAGUGGAAUUUCCGGUGUAGCAGUGAAAUGCGUAGAGAUCGGAAGGAACAUCUGUGGCGAAGGCGACUAUCUGGGCCAACACUGACACUGAGGCACGAAAGCGUGGGGAGCAAACAGGAUUAGAUACCCCUGUAGUCCCUGUCUCUUAUAC